This 803-nucleotide ribosomal RNA is filed under the name Halomonas sp. A15.6. RNAcentral's name for it is "bacterial SSU rRNA". It matches the Rfam family "Bacterial small subunit ribosomal RNA", at positions 29 to 823 of the family's 1533-position model. The record is from RNAcentral. Lineage: Bacteria; Pseudomonadati; Pseudomonadota; Gammaproteobacteria; Oceanospirillales; Halomonadaceae.
UUGAACGCUGCCGGCAGGCCUAACACAUGCAAGUCGAGCGGAAACGAUCCUAGCUUGCUAGGAGGCGUCGAGCGGCGGACGGGUGAGUAAUGCAUAGGAAUCUGCCCGGUAGUGGGGGAUAACUUGAGGAAACUCAAGCUAAUACCGCAUACGCCCUACGGGGGAAAGCAGGGGCUCUUCGGACCUUGCGCUAUCGGAUGAGCUUAUGUCGGAUUAGCUGGUUGGUGAGGUAACGGCUCACCAAGGCGACGAUCCGUAGCUGGUCUGAGAGGAUGAUCAGCCACAUCGGGACUGAGACACGGCCCGAACUCCUACGGGAGGCAGCAGUGGGGAAUAUUGGACAAUGGGGGCAACCCUGAUCCAGCCAUGCCGCGUGUGUGAAGAAGGCCCUCGGGUUGUAAAGCACUUUCAGCGAGGAAGAAUGCUUGUCGGUUAAUACCCGGCAAGGGAGACAUCACUCGCAGAAGAAGCACCGGCUAACUCCGUGCCAGCAGCCGCGGUAAUACGGAGGGUGCGAGCGUUAAUCGGAAUUACUGGGCGUAAAGCGUGCGUAGGCGGCUUGAUAAGCCGGUUGUGAAAGCCCCGGGCUCAACCUGGGAACGGCAUCCGGAACUGUUAGGCUAGAGUGCAGGAGAGGAAGGUAGAAUUCCCGGUGUAGCGGUGAAAUGCGUAGAGAUCGGGAGGAAUACCAGUGGCGAAGGCGGCCUUCUGGACUGACACUGACGCUGAGGUACGAAAGCGUGGGUAGCAAACAGGAUUAGAUACCCUGGUAGUCCACGCCGUAAACGAUGUCGACUAGCCGU